GGACGGCACUAAAGCGUCGUGCCUAUACUCGGCCGUCAACGGCAAAGUGGGCGGCCACCUCGCGGGGGCCGGGCCGUUAAGCCUUGACGAGUAGGAGGGUCGCGACGGUGUGCGCAGAAGGGUCACGGCGUAUGCCGGCCUGGAGCCGCCGUCGGCGCAGAUCUUGGUGGUAGGAGCAAAUACUCAAUGGAGGACCUUGAGGUCUGAUGCGGAGAAGGGUUUCUUGUGAACAGCCGUUGCACAAGAGUCAGUCGGUCCUAAUCGCCCGGAGAAGUCCUUCAUUGGAC
RNAcentral lists this ribosomal RNA (287 nucleotides) under Acutalis tartarea. RNAcentral describes it as "partial 28S ribosomal RNA". It matches the Rfam family "Eukaryotic large subunit ribosomal RNA", at positions 1320 to 1574 of the family's 3401-position model. The record is from RNAcentral. Lineage: Eukaryota; Metazoa; Arthropoda; Insecta; Hemiptera; Membracidae.